Molecule: ribosomal RNA, 586 nt
Filed under: uncultured bacterium
Lineage: Bacteria
Description: bacterial SSU rRNA
Rfam family: Bacterial small subunit ribosomal RNA
Source: RNAcentral
CCUACGGGAGGCAGCAGUAGGGAAUCUUCCACAAUGGGCGAAAGUCUGAUGGAGCAACGCCGCGUGAGUGAUGAAGGUUUUCGGAUCGUAAAACUCUGUUGUAAGGGAAGAACAAGUACGAGAGGGAAUGCUCGUACCUUGACGGUACCUUGCGAGAAAGCCACGGCUGACUACGUGCCAGCAGCCGCGGUAAUACGUAGGUGGCAAGCGUUGUCCGGAAUUAUUGGGCGUAAAGCGCGCGCAGGCGGCCUUUUAAGUCUGAUGUGAAAGCCCCCGGCUCAACCGGGGAGGGUCAUUGGAAACUGGAAGGCUUGAGUACAGAAGAGAAGAGUGGAAUUCCAUGUGUAGCGGUGAAAUGCGUAGAGAUGUGGAGGAACACCAGUGGCGAAGGCGACUCUUUGGUCUGUAACUGACGCUGAGGCGCUAAAGCGUGGGGAGCAAACAGGAUUAGAUACCCUGGUAGUCCACGCCGUAAACGAUGAGUGCUAGGUGUUGGGGGGUUUCCGCCCGUCAGUGCUGAAGCUAACGCAUUAAGCACUCCGCCUGGGGAUACGGCCGCAAGGCUGAAACUUAAGGAAUUGACCGG